CCUACGGGAGGCAGCAGUGGGGAAUAUUGCACAAUGGGCGAAAGCCUGAUGCAGCGACGCCGCGUGAGGGAUGACGGCCUUCGGGUUGUAAACCUCUUUCAGUAGGGAACAAGGGGGCCUCUUCGGGGGUUUCUGAGGGUACUUGCAGAAGAAGCGCCGGCUAACUACGUGCCAGCAGCCGCGGUAAUACGUAGGGCGCAAGCGUUGUCCGGAAUUAUUGGGCGUAAAGAGCUCGUAGGCGGUUUGUCGCGUCUGCUGUGAAAACCUGGGGCUUAACCCUGGGCGUGCAGUGGGUACGGGCAGACUUGAGUGCGGUAGGGGAGACUGGAAUUCCUGGUGUAGCGGUGGAAUGCGCAGAUAUGUGGAGGAACACCGAUGGCGAAGGCAGGUCUCUGGGCCAUUACUGACACUGAGAAGCGAAAGCAUGGGUAGCGAACAGGAUUAGAUACCCUGGUAGUCCAUGCCGUAAACGUUGGGCACUAGGUGUGGGGGACAUUCCACGUUCUCCGCGCCGUAGCUAACGCAUUAAGUGCCCCGCCUGGGGAGUACGGCCGCAAGGCUAAAACUCAAAGGAAUUGACGGGGGCCCGCACAAGCGGCGGAGCAUGCUGAUUAAUUCGAUGCAACGCGAAGAACCUUAC
RNAcentral lists this ribosomal RNA (640 nucleotides) under uncultured Arthrobacter sp. RNAcentral describes it as "bacterial SSU rRNA". It matches the Rfam family "Bacterial small subunit ribosomal RNA", at positions 338 to 974 of the family's 1533-position model. Lineage: Bacteria; Bacillati; Actinomycetota; Actinomycetes; Micrococcales; Micrococcaceae. The record is from RNAcentral.